This 157-nucleotide ribosomal RNA is filed under the name Garcinia amplexicaulis. Its description in RNAcentral is "5.8S ribosomal RNA". It matches the Rfam family "5.8S ribosomal RNA". Rfam says of the family: 5.8S ribosomal RNA (5.8S rRNA) is a component of the large subunit of the eukaryotic ribosome. Lineage: Eukaryota; Viridiplantae; Streptophyta; Magnoliopsida; Malpighiales; Clusiaceae. The record is from RNAcentral.
CAGAACGACUCUCGGCAACGGAUAUCUCGGCUCUUGCAUCGAUGAAGAACGUAGCGAAAUGCGAUACGUGGUGUGAAUUGCAGAAUCCCGUGAACCAUCGAGUUUUUGAACGCAAGUUGCGCCCAAAGCCUUUUGGUUGAGGGCACGUCUGCCUGGG